AUUGAACGCUGGCGGCAGGCCUAACACAUGCAAGUCGAGCGAGCGGCAGAGGGGUGAGUAAUGCCUGAGCGUCGCCCAGUCGAGGGGGAAAUCAGUUGGAGACGGCUGCUAACACCGCAUCCGCUUGGCUUGCACAGGUGGGAUUAGAUAGUUGGGGUGGUAAUGUCUCACAAAGGCGAAGCUCCAUAGCUGGUCUGAGAGGAUGAUCAGCCACACUGGAACUUGGACACGGUCCAGACUCCUACGGGAGGCAGCAGUGGGGAAUAUUUCACAAUGGGGGAAACCCUGAUGCAUCCAUGCCGCGUGUGUGAAGAAGGCCUUCGGGUUGUAAAGCACUUUCGGCGAGGAAGCGUUACGCGCAGAAGAAGCACCGGCUAACUCCGUGCCAGCCGCCGCGGUAAUAC
Molecule: ribosomal RNA, 404 nt
Filed under: uncultured bacterium
Lineage: Bacteria
Description: partial 16S ribosomal RNA
Rfam family: Bacterial small subunit ribosomal RNA
Source: RNAcentral